AACCCUUCUUGGCCUCUAAAGAAAAUGGCAGAAACAUCAUCCGAGCCUGCUGGGCAACUUGGGCAGCUUGUUGUACACUCAGGCACUCACAGUGACACUGUCCUGGCCAGUUUCGAGGACCAGAGGAAGAAAGGUUUUCUCUGUGACAUUACUUUAAUUGUGGAGAAUGUGCAUUUCCGGGCCCACAAAGCCUUACUGGCUGCCAGUAGCGAAUACUUCUCCAUGAUGUUUGCUGAAGAAGGGGAGAUUGGCCAGUCCAUUUAUAUGCUGGAAGGCAUGGUAGCCGACACAUUUGGUAUCCUGCUAGAGUUUAUCUACACGGGUUAUCUCCAGGCCAGUGAGAAAAGUACAGAACAAAUCCUGGCUACUGCUCAGUUCUUAAAAGUCUAUGACCUGGUAAAGGCAUACACAGAUUUUCAAAACAACCAUAGCUCCCCAAAACCGACGACUUUGAACACAGCUGGUGCUCCAGUGGUUGUUAUUUCUAAUAAGAAAAAUGAUCCACCGAAGCGGAAACGGGGAAGACCAAGAAAAGUCAACAAUUUGCAGGAGGGAAAAUCAGAACUGGCUGCAGAGGAAGAAAUACAGCUGAGAGUGAACAAUUCCGUUCAGAAUAGACAAAACUUUGUGGUUAAAGAGGGAGAUAAUGGUGUACUGAAUGAACAGACUGGAGCAAAAGAAAUGGAAGAAUCUGAGCCUGCUUGUGAGCUAGGUAGAGGGGAGGAAACGGGAAUGCCUGCUGAAAAAGAUGAGAACUGUGAUCCUAAGAUCCAGGAUGGGCAGGACCACCAGACUCGGUACAGCAAGAGGAGGAUUCAGAGAUCCAUCAAACUGAAAGAUUACAAACUUGUUGGGGAUGAAGAAGACCUGGUUUCAGCCAAGAGGGUCUGUGGAAGGAGAAAGCGUCCCAUUGGCCCUGAGGCCCGUUGUAAAGACUGUGGCAAAGUCUUCAAGUAUAACCACUUUUUAGCAAUCCACCAGAGGAGCCACACGGGGGAGCGACCUUUCAAAUGUAAUGAGUGUGGGAAAGGCUUUACCCAGAAGCACUCCCUGCAGGUCCACACCCGGAUUCACACAGGCGAGCGGCCGUACACCUGCACCGUGUGCAGCAAGGCUCUCACCACCAAGCACUCGCUGCUGGAGCACAUGAGCCUGCACUCAGAAGUCUUUUACCUGUGAUCAGUGUGGAAAAUAUUACAGCCAGAAAAGACAACUGAAAAGCCAUUACCGAGUACAUACAGGCCACUCAUUACCGGAAUGCAACCACUGCCAUCGCAAAUUCAUGGACGUGUCUCAGCUGAAGAAACACCUACGAACACACACAGGUGAGAAGCCGUUUACAUGUGAAAUCUGUGGCAAAUCUUUCACAGCAAAGAGUUCUCUUCAGACCCACAUCAGAAUCCAUCGAGGAGAGAAGCCAUACUCCUGUGGCAUAUGUGGCAAAUCCUUCUCCGACUCCAGUGCCAAGAGGAGACACUGCAUUCUACACACAGGCAAAAAGCCUUUCUCCUGCCCCGAGUGUAACUUACAGUUUGCUCGCUUAGACAACUUGAAGGCUCACUUGAAAAUCCAUAGCAAAGAGAAACAUGCAGCAGAUGCCAGCAGCAUUUCUGGCAGUAAUAAUACUGAAGAGGUCAGGAACAUUCUUCAGCUGCAGCCUUAUCAACUCUCUACCUCCGGAGAGCAGGAAAUACAGCUUCUUGUAACCGAUUCUGUACAUAAUAUCAAUUUCAUGCCUGGUCCUAGUCAAGGAAUCAGCAUCGUUGCUGCAGAGAGUUCCCAGAACAUGACUGCAGACCAGGCUGCUAAUCUCACGCUGCUCACACAGCAGCCAGAACAACUGCAGAAUUUAAUUCUCUCAGCUCAACAGGAGCAAACAGAACACAUUCAGAGCCUCAAUGUGAUUGAAAGCCAGAUGGAACCCUCACAGAGCGAGCCUGUGCACGUUAUUGCACUUUCCAAGGAAACCUUGGAGCAUCUGCACGCCCAUCAAGAGCAAACGAGGGAGCUCCGUUUAGCAAGUGCUGCACAUCCAGCUCAGCACCUGCAGCUGACACCGCAGUCUGCUCCGCCGCCACCCAGCCACCAUGUGCCGCAGCCCACACCGAUGAGCCAGGAGCAGAGCUGACCUGCAAACACGUUUGACUGCUCUACUGGUCUCUUCUCCAUCAGCCAGCUGUAACUGGAUUGUGUGCUUGAAGUCAGGCUUCCUGAAACCUCACUCACAGAUCCUUACGGAAUUGUGCUAGCUAGCUGAUAGUCAUAAUGUUUCCUUCCAGGCAGCAAGAUGUGUGCAUUAUGUCCCCUAUAUAGUACUGAAAGGGAUUAAGCAUUUCACUAUUGAUAAAUGGUUUUCAUUUCAUCUACUGCAUCUCAAAAAGACUUGGGUAAUUUUUCUUUGGGGGUAUUGGUUUAAAUUUUCCAUAAGUACUAUAUGUUCACAGCAAUAGGUUACGGUCUUGCUGACCUUUCCAGUUAUAGUUU
Molecule: RNA transcript, 2484 nt
Organism: Molossus molossus (Pallas's mastiff bat)
Lineage: Eukaryota; Metazoa; Chordata; Mammalia; Chiroptera; Molossidae
Gene: ZBTB24
Gene name: zinc finger and BTB domain containing 24
Exons: 6
Source: RefSeq, a predicted model, not a curated record